GAGACCCAGAGGGGCCCAAAGGCUCGUGGCAGAGCACCUGACCCCUGCCGGUGACCUCAGGAAGGCUCCUGAACCCGUCACAGACCAAGGGAGGGGGUGUAUGCCGAGCUCCCCUCCAGACACAGCGAGAGGAAGAAGUAGCCCCGCUCUCGGCACUGCGGACACCAGUCCCGAGCGCCUGAGCUCCUCCAGCCCCGCAGGGCUGGGCUCGCUACCCCCUCGCACAGGUGGGAAUUAGGCUCAGAGACGCCGAGGGUUUGCCGGACGCGGCGCCGCCGGGAAGAAGGCGGCUCCUCCGGCAUCUGACUGCCCCGCCCAGGCUCCGGCCCGGGGUUCUGAGCGUCUGUCACCCGCCCGGUCGCGUGUCGCUGGGCCCAUCGCGCCGCGGGAUGGCGCGUUUCAGUGCCUAUUAGCACAGCUUCCAGCCGCCCCGCAGCCACCCACGCCUUGCGCUCGCUGCCCAGCCCAGGCUGUUGUCCUGCUGACUCCCGGCUCCGUCCCCAGAGCCCUGACCGCCUGGCAGCUGUCGCGCCCAGGGCACAGCAGCUCAGGGGAAAAGCGAAGAUCUCCUCGCAAGAGAGACGGUUCGCUUCAUAAUUGCUGCUGAGACGACUACGUGCUUCCCCGGCCCUCGCCCGCCGCCAGAGUCCCUCCGCCGCUGGGAGGCCGAUUCAACCAGCCAGCUGCCAGCGGCGCUGAUGUAAAAAUAGAGAGAACAUUCCAGUACCCGGCCAGUUCCAAGGUGGGAAUGGAAUGAGAGGAAGUGAGAGGCUGCAGCCCAUGUCACACUACCGCCUCAGAGCCCAGGGUGCACCCCCUCAGGGCCAGGACUGCCCUGCCGCCCUCCUGCCUGGGACCACCGAUCUGCCUGGUUGCCACACCAGCCGCAGUCCCAAGCUCCGGGUGCCCAUUUCAGUGAGCAUCCGCAGGUGAGUCAGAGACCCGAGAGGCGUGCUGGAACCCCCUCCUGCCCCAGCAAGGCAGCUUCCCUCUCUCUCUCUGCUUAGAACAGUUCCAUGGCUUUCCGCCGCUCUUAGAAUAAAGAAAAAAUAUACAGUCAGCGGUGGAGGGUCUUCAGGCUGGGUCUGCCUCCCCCUGCAUCCUCUCUGCCCACCAGCCUCCCCCAUCCCCACCCCGUCACACCCACCUUUCCACAGGCCAUGAACCUCCAGCCUCCCCACUUCACCUGCUGCUGCCUACUCACCCUCAAAGUACCUCUACUGCCCUGGCUCAGGAGCCCACCCCCUUGGCUUCUUCUAUACUGUCACACCGCACGGCUCUCUUGCAGCCCAUGCUAAAUGGACAGGCUUGCAUUGUUGUUUGAUGAAUUCUGUUUCCCACUCUGCACUGAGGGCUCCCUGAGGCUGAGACCUGGACUCUUCGGCUGGCCUCCUUGUCUCCCAGCACGGUGCCUGCACAUAGUAGGUGCCCAGUAAAAGUUUGUUGAGUAAAUCAGCAAACUUAUAGCUGCAGGUGUGUCAACGAGCAGGGCAAGAGUGGAGUGACAGAGUUCUGGGUGCUUUUGGAAAAUGAGCUAAAGGAUGAUCAAGACUAGGGACUUCCCUGGUGGUGCAGUGGUUAAGAAGCCACCUGCCAACGCAGGAGGCAUGGGCUUGAUCCCUGGUCCAGGAAGAUCCCACAUGCCACGGAGCAACUAAGCCCGUGUGCCACAACUACUGAGCCAGUGCUCUGGAGCCCGCAAGCCACAACUACUGCAGCCUGCGCCCUAGAGCCCGUGCUCCGCAACAAGAGAAGCCACCGCAAUGAGAAGCCGGUGCACCGCAACGAAGAGUAGCCCCCGCUCGCUGCAACUAGAGAAAGCCUGCGCACAGCAACGAAGACCCAACACAGCCAAAAAAAAAAACCUACACACUCCCAACGCAGGAGGCCCAGGUUCGAUCCCUGGUCAGGGAAAUAGAUCCCACAUGCAUGCCUCAACUGAGUUCACAUGCCGUGAUUAAGGAGCCCGCGAGCCGCAACUAAGACCCGGUGCAACCAAAUAAAUAAAUAAAUAUUUUUUUAAAAAAAGAAUAAUCAAGACUAGAUGUUGGAUGUCUUGGCUUCUCCAGCUGAGGGAAGGUUGGCCCCACACCUGCACCUUGGAUAACCAGGAAGACGGCGGAGAAAAAGGACAUCUCGCUGGCUGUGAACCACAACCCUGUGUUCUCGUGUGGCUGGGAACAAAUCUGUUUGCUUCAAAUUGCCUGGAUUGCCCUUUGGAAAAAAUAUGACCACCCGGUGCAGGGCUGGGACUGCGGUGCAGCAAGGGAAGUGCGCAGGGGAGCAGAGGCUUGAGGAAGGGCUGCUUGUGUGGGCUCCACCCUGUCCAGGCUGGACCACUGCGCUCGCUCUCAUGUCAGUGAGAGAUGCCCUGUAAUUUCAGAGGUGCUGAGAUCCCCAGCUUUCAAAUUCCUGGCCUCCACCGCCAGGGCAGCGUAGGAAGAAAUCACUACACAGCGUCUCCCAAGGGAGGCUCUGGGCGUCCCUGGUGAUCCCAGCACGCCGGCCUCCUGGAGCCUGGUUCUCCACCGGCCUGCCCUGCACCAGCGCUAGAGGCCGGAGACGAAACUCAGAGGAAAACCUAGAUUCCAGAGAACCUUCCAAAGACAGAGGGUAAGCAUAGUAGGCAUCCUUUUUAAGCAUUUACUGGAGAAGUUCAAGUGCAGUGUAGUUAUUCCAUGUAGUGCCUCUUGUGCCUGCAAUAGAAGAGACACUCGGUAAAUGCGUGAGUGGACUGGGCGGGAGGGGGAGGGGAGGCAGAACUGUGGGCACUCUGGCUUAGGAAGGGUAAAGGGUAAACAGAGCCUUCUCAGAACUUCAAAGGGCACCUGGAUGUGGAGAAACUCUUUAUAGCACUGGAGUCUCCCCUUUGCUCAUCCCCUUGUCCUGCAUCCUGAGGGGCUUCACAACAGCCCCCCCUUCCUCUCCCAGGGAUCCUGAGCAAGAGAAGUGGGGGGGGGUGUGAUCACAGACUGUCAGAGGAACGGGGACCACCUAGAGCAGAGCUUCCCCCUCCUGUUACCUAUGGAAACCAACGUCCUCCGCGGAGCCAGGGCUGGAACCCAGAGAUGCUCUCCCCAGUGCCAUCUGCCCAGCUCACUCAGGAUGCCUGUGGAGCUCAGAUGGGAGAAAUGACAGGAGCAGUUUAGUCCUUUCAGCGGGGGCCACCUUGGGGUCACGCUUGACACAGCCGUUCUCCGACCCCCGCCUCCAUGGCCCCACCUCCCGCCACCGGCGUGGCUGCAAAUGGAUCUGCCCAAACUCAUCUCUGCUGCUGGAAGUACCAUUCAGGGCUGAGGGCCUAGAGGGGCCUUUUCUUCUCUGUUUAUUUAUUUUUUCAUUUUUCGCUUAAGUAUUUUUAAUAUUAACAUAACACUUAUAUCUUGAAAAUAAUAAAGUUGAAAAGAAUAAUGAAGUAUAAAAAAGGCAGAAAAAAUCACCUAUCACCCCCCAUACAGAAAGCAUCGUGGUAAUUUAUCACUUUGACCGAGUUGCUUUGUCCUUUUGCCCUUCAUUUUUUCCCUGGUCCAAUGGGUCCCUGCUGACACAGGGCACAUUAACAUUGGGCUGAAGGGCUCCAGGCAGCUCUGUCUCCCAGCUGGUGCCCUGUUAUCCUGGGGAAUUUUCAGACCCAGUGUAUUUUUAGGCCCAGGGAAAAUGUAACAGAUUUAAAAUAAGGCAACAGAAUUUGGGGCAAAAUUCCUUAAGCCCAUGUGUGAGAUUUGAGCUGUGUUUCAAGGGUGGCUAAAGCCAGGCCUGCACCGUGAAAGGUGUUGAGUUCUAUUUUUAGGGAAUAUGACAGGCUGAGUUCUUGGAACAACAUUCCUGUGGAAAACAACUAAAAAGCCACAUCAAGUAUUUUGAACAUCUUACAAGACCGAAGAGUUGACAAGAUAGUAAGGAAUCACCAGCAGGACAGUGAUUCUAGAAACAGCUCUUGCCCUGAGAGUGUUUGUUUAUCUCACUUACCUUGCUCUUGGGGUUUAACAGCUUUGCAAAGCUUGAUGCCUCCCUCGUGAAGCUGGGACACGGGUUUACACCACGGGGAAGCGUGAAGGAGUGAGCCAGGGGUAAGCCCUGCCCCACACCGACACUUGAGGAUCAGACAGGCGAGUGGCCCUGGUACCAAGUGUGUGGUAGUGGCGUGGGGUGCAGAUUCCUGGGAAAUUGUAAACUCAGGCUGAGUUCUCACAUGCAUUCGCAGCCCACCUCAUCUGGGGGGACCAGGAGACCUCAGGCGGUGGAUUUAGUUUACCAUCAUUUCAGAUUAGUGGUAUCCCAGGAGAUCCCUGGCAGAAGCAAAUACAAGUCCUUUCUUGAGAGAGUCACCUUUAUUCUGGGUUUCCAAGUGUCCCAGAAAUAAUUCUUCAAAGACAGUGAACGCGACACUGUCAAGUACACAUGGAAAAAGGUAGUGUGAGUAUGAACCGGGACAAUAGGUAAUAGAAAGAAACUCCAAGACUUCAUCCACUAGGAUUAUUAGAUUCAUAUUAUUAAAAACCUAUGCUUGCUCUUUUAAAGAAGAGACAAGCUAACGCAUAUCCAUAGGAAGCAGAAAGCUAUAAAAAUAUGAUCUAGUUAAUUUUAAAAUAAAAUAAUUUCUAAAAUUUUCUAAAAGUUAAAAAUUCAAUACCAGAAAUUUAAAACUGAGCAAAAGGGUUUAACAAUAGAUUAAGUAAUUUAAAGGGAGAAUUAGUAAAUUGGAAGAUCAAUUGGAAGAAAUUACCCACAAUGCAAUUCAGAUAAACCCCCUAAAAUGAAAAAUACAAAAAAAAAUUUUUUCCAUUUAAAAAUUUUAAAAAAACUUUUUUAAUGUAGAGGGUAUCAGAAGUUCUGACAUCUUAUUUUUU
Orcinus orca (killer whale) is the source of this 4850-nucleotide long non-coding RNA. RefSeq lists it as uncharacterized. The transcript is spliced from 2 exons. NCBI's taxonomy places the organism in Eukaryota, Metazoa, Chordata, Mammalia, Artiodactyla, Delphinidae. The record is from RefSeq and is a predicted model, not a curated record.